UGGGGAAUAUUGGACAAUGGGCGAAAGCCUGAUCCAGCCAUGCCGCGUGAGUGACGAAGGCCUUAGGGUUGUAAAACUCUUUCGUCGGGGACGAUAAUGACGGUACCCGAAGAAGAAGCUCCGGCUAACUUCGUGCCAGCAGCCGCGGUAAUACGAGGGGAGCUAGCGUUGUUCGGAAUCACUGGGCGUAAAGCGCACGUAGGCGGAUAGUUAAGUCAGGGGUGAAAUCCUGGGGCUCAACCCCAGAACUGCCUUUGAUACUGGCUGUCUCGAGGUCGAGAGAGGUUGGUGGAAUUCCUAGUGUAGAGGUGAAAUUCGUAGAUAUUAGGAAGAACACCAGUGGCGAAGGCGGCCAACUGGCUCGAUACUGACGCUGAGGUGCGAAAGCGUGGGGAGCAAACAGGAUUAGAUACCCCCGUAGUCCCUGAGCGGGCUGGCAAGGCGCAU
RNAcentral lists this ribosomal RNA (447 nucleotides) under uncultured bacterium. Its description in RNAcentral is "bacterial SSU rRNA". It matches the Rfam family "Bacterial small subunit ribosomal RNA", at positions 355 to 825 of the family's 1533-position model. The record is from RNAcentral.